UAGGGAAUCUUCCGCAAUGGGCGAAAGCCUGACGGAGCAACGCCGCGUGAGUGAUGAAGGUCUUCGGAUCGUAAAACUCUGUUAUUAGGGAAGAACAAAUGUGUAAGUAACUAUGCACGUCUUGACGGUACCUAAUCAGAAAGCCACGGCUAACUACGUGCCAGCAGCCGCGGUAAUACGUAGGUGGCAAGCGUUAUCCGGAAUUAUUGGGCGUAAAGCGCGCGUAGGCGGUUUUUUAAGUCUGAUGUGAAAGCCCACGGCUCAACCGUGGAGGGUCAUUGGAAACUGGAAAACUUGAGUGCAGAAGAAGAAAGUGGAAUUCCAGGUGUAGCGGUGAAAUGCGCAGUGAUAUGGAGGAACACCAGUGGCGAAGGCGACUUUCUGGUCUGUAACUGACGCUGAUGUGCGAAAGCGUGGGGAUCAAACAGG
This 429-nucleotide ribosomal RNA is filed under the name Actinomycetes bacterium. Its description in RNAcentral is "Actinobacteria bacterium partial 16S ribosomal RNA". It matches the Rfam family "Bacterial small subunit ribosomal RNA", at positions 355 to 776 of the family's 1533-position model. The record is from RNAcentral. Lineage: Bacteria; Bacillati; Actinomycetota; Actinomycetes.